Molecule: ribosomal RNA, 471 nt
Filed under: uncultured organism
Description: bacterial SSU rRNA
Rfam family: Bacterial small subunit ribosomal RNA
Source: RNAcentral
GAUGAACGCUGGCGGCGUGUCUAAGGCAUGCAAGUCGAACGGAUCGUUAUUUGUAGCAAUACUUAGAACGGUUAGUGGCAAACGGGUGCGUAACACAUUGGUAACCUGCCUCAAAGUCGGGCAUAAUCCCUCGAAAGGGGGACUAAUUCCACGAUGGUCAUCGAAGGUGAGAAUCCUUCGAUGUAAAGUCGCAAGACGCUUUGAGAGGGGCCUAUGGCCUAUCAGCUUGUUGGUGAGGUAACGGCUCACCAAGGCUAUGACGGGUAGGGGGUGUGAGAGCACGACCCCCCUCACUGGGACUGAGACACUGCCCAGACACCUACGGGUGGCUGCAGUCGAGAAUAUUCCCCAAUGGCCGAAAGGCUGAGGGAGCGACGCCGCGUGCAGGAAUAAGGCCUUCGGGUCGUAAACUGCUUUUGCCGAGGAAGAAUCAUGACGGUACUCGGAGAAUAAGAGGUUGCUAACUCUGUG